Y RNA from Callithrix jacchus (white-tufted-ear marmoset), 100 nucleotides. It matches the Rfam family "Y RNA". From Rfam's summary of the family: Y RNAs are components of the Ro ribonucleoprotein particle (Ro RNP), in association with Ro60 and La proteins. NCBI's taxonomy places the organism in Eukaryota, Metazoa, Chordata, Mammalia, Primates, Cebidae. The record is from Ensembl.
GGCUAGUCGGAAUGCGAUGGCUUUUACAAGUAAUGGAUCACAGCCAGUUACAGAUUUCUUUGCUCCUUCCCCACUCCCACUGCUUCUUGACUAGCCUUUA